RNAcentral lists this ribosomal RNA (256 nucleotides) under uncultured bacterium. RNAcentral describes it as "partial 16S ribosomal RNA". It matches the Rfam family "Bacterial small subunit ribosomal RNA", at positions 524 to 777 of the family's 1533-position model. The record is from RNAcentral.
UACGUAGGGGGGCAAGCGUUGUCCGGAAUCAUUGGGCGUAAAGCGCGUGUAGGCGGUUCGGUAAGUCUGCUGUGAAAGUCCAGGGCUCAACCCUGGGAUGCCGGUGGAUACUGUCGGACUAGAGUACGGAAGAGGCGAGUGGAAUUCCCGGUGUAGCGGUGAAAUGCGCAGAUAUCGGGAGGAACACCAAUUGCGAAGGCAGCUCGCUGGGACGUCACUGACGCUGAGACGCGAAAAGCGUGGGGAGCAAACAGGG